GAUGAACGCUGGCGGCGUGCCUAAUACAUGCAAGUCGAGCGAACGGACGAGAAGCUUGCUUCUCUGAUGUUAGCGGCGGACGGGUGAGUAACACGUGGAUAACCUACCUAUAAGACUGGGAUAACUUCGGGAAACCGGAGCUAAUACCGGAUGAUAUUUUGAACCGCAUUGUUCACAAGUGAAAGACGGUCUUGCUGUCACUUAUAGAUGGAUCCGCGCUGCAUUAGCUAGUUGGUAAGGUAACGGCUUACCAAGGCAACGAUGCAUAGCCGACCUGAGAGGGUGAUCGGCCACACUGGAACUGAGACACGGUCCAGACUCCUACGGGAGGCAGCAGUAGGGAAUCUUACGCAAUGGGCGAAAGCCUGACGGAGCAACGCCGCGUGAGUGAUGAAGGUCUUCGGAUCGUAAAACUCUGUUAUUAGGGAAGAACAUAUGUGUAAGUAACUGUGCACAUCUUGACGGUACCUAAUCAGAAAGCCACGGCUAACUACGUG
Molecule: ribosomal RNA, 497 nt
Filed under: uncultured bacterium
Lineage: Bacteria
Description: partial 16S ribosomal RNA
Rfam family: Bacterial small subunit ribosomal RNA
Source: RNAcentral